Molecule: small nucleolar RNA, 69 nt
Organism: Nomascus leucogenys (northern white-cheeked gibbon)
Lineage: Eukaryota; Metazoa; Chordata; Mammalia; Primates; Hylobatidae
Source: Ensembl
UCUCAGUGAUGAAAACUUUGUCCAGUUCUGCUACUGACAGGAAGUGAAGAUAAAGUGUGUCUGAGGAGA